Felis catus (domestic cat) is the source of this 445-nucleotide long non-coding RNA. RefSeq lists it as uncharacterized. The record is from RefSeq and is a predicted model, not a curated record. The transcript is spliced from 2 exons. Lineage: Eukaryota; Metazoa; Chordata; Mammalia; Carnivora; Felidae.
ACCCGGGCUCGCUUCCCCACCGGCCCCACACAGACCCCCGUUUGCUUGCAGUGGCACAGGGUCCCCAGGGGAGCGACCCGCUGCUGGCAUUCCAGACACAGGGAAAGGGACACCCUCUGGCAAACAUCCCUUUCUCCGGGCUGAUUCCUCUGUCUCCUGCAGCCACUUAGCUCUACAUCGGGGGGAGUGUGGUGUGAGCCUAAGGUCCCCACAGUCCCCCACGUGCUUGCCGGAUUCCUGGGCAGUGUUUACCAGAUCCGUCCAACGGGGUCCAGAAUCAGAAGGCGGCGACGUGAUCACGGAAACAGGAGAGAAGGCUGCGACGUGGGGCCAUGGGCCAGGGACCCUCAGAAGAAAGCCCUGCUGACUUCUCGAUGUUGACCCAGCAAGACCCAUUUUGGACCUCCAGAACUGUCAGCGAAUAAAUGCUUGUCAUUUUAAGCCA